UACGGAGGGUGCGAGCGUUGUCCGGAAUCACUGGGCGUAAAGGGCGCGUAGGCGGCGCGGGUAGUCAUCGGUGAAAGUUCAGGGCUCAACUCUGAAUCGGCCGGUGAUACUCCCGUGCUCGAGCACUGUAGAGGCAGGUGGAAUUCCGGGUGUAGCGGUGGAAUGCGUAGAGAUCCGGAAGAACACCGGUGGCGAAGGCGGCCUGCUGGGCAGUAGCUGACGCUGAUGCGCGACAGCGUGGGGAGCAAACAGG
RNAcentral lists this ribosomal RNA (253 nucleotides) under uncultured bacterium. RNAcentral describes it as "partial 16S ribosomal RNA". It matches the Rfam family "Bacterial small subunit ribosomal RNA", at positions 524 to 776 of the family's 1533-position model. The record is from RNAcentral.